RNAcentral lists this long non-coding RNA (567 nucleotides) under Bos taurus (domestic cattle). RNAcentral describes it as "long non-coding RNA NONBTAT015277". Lineage: Eukaryota; Metazoa; Chordata; Mammalia; Artiodactyla; Bovidae. The record is from RNAcentral.
CCUCAUUCACUUUGAUUCUCAUGGAAAUCUAGUAAUUUCAUUAAAUUUCUCUUGUAAGGAAUCGCUGAAAACCUUCCCUGAGUGUAAUUAAUAUGAUAAAAACUCACAUGAUGACUCGGUGUUUGACACUCCACUCAAAGGAAGGGGCUGGAAACGUGCAUGAAGCGGCACUGCUCUGGGCACUGCCUGGUCUGUGGAUGAGUCACACACGGACGGGUGGCAGCCACAGGCUGUCCUUCAGGGUUGAGUUUCCCCUUUUUCUUCCCAUAUUUUGAGAUGGAACGUGGGCGUAAGCAUAUCUGUUAAUUUGCCUGUCUAUCUGACUUUAUGUUGUCAGCCACUCAGGGUUUCCUUUCUUACUUUUGGCUUAUGAUUUAAAUGAAGAAUAAUCUAAAAAUGAGAAUACAGAGGUGAAUUCUUCCUAGCGGUAGUGUGUAAAUCAUCUACCUCCUCUCUUUAGCCAAUAAGAUGACCACAGAAUGAGACAAUCAAGUGCCAUCUAAGCCCCGUGAAUCUGCAGCUCACAUCCAAAUAAACCAUCAUCCUUGUGUUUCUCUCCAUCGGUUA